GUUAGGCAUUAACUCUGAAUGGUUAAGGUUAGGCAUUAACUCUGAAUGGUUAAGGUUAGGCAUUAACUCUGAAUGGUUAAGGUUAGGGGUUAAGGUUAGGCAUUAACUCUGAAUGGUUAAGGUAAGGGGUUAAGGUAAGGGGUUAAGGUUAGGCAUUAACUCUGAAUGGUUAAGGUAAGGGGUUAAGGUUAGGGGUUAACUCUGAAGGGUUAAGGUAAGGGGUUAAGGUAAGGGGUUAAGGUAAGGGGUUAAGGUAAGGGGUUAAGGUUAGGCAUUAACUCUGAAUGGUUAAGGUAAGGGGUUAAGGUAAGGGGUUAAGUUAAGGGGUUAAGGUAAGGGGUUAAGUUAAGGGGUUAAGGUAAGGGGUUAAGGUAAGGGGUUAAGGUAAGGGGUUAAGUUAAGGGGUUAAGGUAAGGGGUUAAGGUAAGGGGUUAAGGUAAGGGGUUAAGGUUUGUGAUUUGGCUUAAAACAAAAACAUCCAAAACACCUUUCUAUUGCUGUGUGUGAAUAGUUGAAUCAUCUAAACCUUGAAUAAUCACAUAAAUCGGAUCACAUAAAUCGGAUCACAUAAAUCGGAUCACAUAAAUCGGAUCACAUAAAUCGGAUCACAUAAAUC
Long non-coding RNA from Oncorhynchus tshawytscha (Chinook salmon), 616 nucleotides. The record is from Ensembl. Lineage: Eukaryota; Metazoa; Chordata; Actinopteri; Salmoniformes; Salmonidae.